GAAAUGCGAUAAGUAAUGUGAAUUGCAGAAUUCAGUGAAUCAUCGAAUCUUUGAACGCACAUUGCGCCCGCCAGUAUUCUGGCGGGCAUGCCUGUUCGAGCGUCAUUUCAACCAUCAAGCCCCCGGCUUGUGUUGGGGACCUGCGGCUGCCCGCAGGCCCUGAAAAACAGUGGCGGGCUCGCUGUCACACCGAGCGUAGUAGCAUACAUUCUCGCUCAGGGCGUGCUGCGGGUUCCGGCCGUUAAACGACCUUCAUAACCCAAGGUUGACCUCGGAUCAGGUAGGAAGACACGCUGAACUUAAGC
Molecule: unclassified non-coding RNA, 305 nt
Filed under: plant metagenome
Description: partial contains 5.8S ribosomal RNA, internal transcribed spacer 2, and large subunit ribosomal RNA
Rfam family: 5.8S ribosomal RNA (bases 1-105)
Source: RNAcentral